Molecule: unclassified non-coding RNA, 3210 nt
Filed under: Haliotis rubra (blacklip abalone)
Lineage: Eukaryota; Metazoa; Mollusca; Gastropoda; Lepetellida; Haliotidae
Description: uncharacterized LOC124278652, transcript variant X1
Source: RNAcentral
CUUAGACCAGUGCGAUCCGUUACGUCGCGAACGUUAGCGAGUAAGCCGUCUCACAUUUCACAUAUUUGACACAGAAUUCAGUGUACCACAACACAAACAGUAAGGGCGGAAACGAUGGCAUCAAACUUCGUUUUGAAAAAACCUGUGUUGCAGCAACUGUGACGAACUGCAGGAGCUUGUGGUAUUAUCCUGUUACCAUGGUAUCUGCAAAACCUGUCUCAAAGCUGGUGAUCGAACAAAGGAUGGGAAAUCAGUCACGUUGUGUCCAGUUUGUAACACGCAAGUCACCUCAUCAGAAGUAAAUGAUGAUCUUCGAUCACAACUGAAUACGUGUAUGAGUCAAGCCUUUCAAUAUUUUGGAAAAAAUGUAUUGAAGACGGAAACAAGCUCCUGUAGCAUUUGUUGUUUACGAAACCUGCACAACGAAGUGACCCACCAGUGUCUCGACUGUGGCGAUGUUCUGUGUGAUGUCUGCCAGAAAGGACACUGUGCAUCAAGGAUCACACAUGAUCAUAGGGUGGUACCUAUUGAAGAUGUGAGGAGUGGGAAGUUUGUGGUAGCUGAGGCACAGGCAGCCCUGCCCUGUAGUAACACGACACACAAGGGAGCCACGUGUACUUACUUCUGCCAGACUUGUGGCAAACUGAUGUGUGAAUUGUGUCUUCUGUUUGAACACAAAGGUCAUGAGAUCCUACCGUUACAAGAAGCUGCCAGACAGUGUGGGAAACAGCUGGAAGAACAAUCGGUAAAACUUGAAACUUACCUCACUGAGAUAACAUCAGUGCUUGAAAUGAACAGCAGUCGGCGUGAGAGUAUUAUUGCAUCCCGAGAAGACACUCUAAAAAUACUGCGGGAGAAGACUCAGGCUAUAGUAGGUUUGAUUCACGAACAGGAGCAAAAGGCUGUAGAUAAGGUGACACGCUUGUGUGAGAGUCAGCUCCUCCUUGUCAGUACGAUGAACUACAAAUUGGAUCAAAUUACAAAACUAUGCCCAAAAGUGUUGUCGCUUACUCACUCAGUUCUUGAAGCCAGAGAGGAUCUCCACUUGCUUCUUCUUUGCAAUGAUCUUGAGAAAUGUUUCAAAGAAAGUCAACAAUUACAGGAUUCGAUGCUAGCUUUUGAAAACAAAUGGAAGAUACCCAGGUUCAAUGUGAAGUGUGAUUUUCCAAAUAGCUCUGUUAUCGGUAUAAAACAGUCAUUUGUCAGUCCACAUCUGGUGCAAGAAGAGAGCAAGGAAAGAGUUAUCUUGUCAGAUGAUGCAAAUGGAGGUCAGAUCACUUCAGCUCAUCCAGGUGGCAAGCAGUCAGUCAAGUCAUGCAAUGCUGAAGACACUUCCACCCAGAAACAAGCUCGGCCCACCAGACCACAAGGUAAAGUCGGAGCCAACAAGCAACACCUGCCUACAAAGGAUCAGAUGGUUAUCUGUAGUAAUGGAAUCUUGACUGACACAGUGCAUAGUAAUGAUACUGAAGGCAUGUCAGGUUAUUCCACACAUGAUGAUACAUCACUUGAGGAAUCUGAGGAUGGAUUCCAACUGACCAAGUCUGUGGUGAUAGUCGGUAAAGGAGGAACGCAGUUGACAAACAGUCUUCCAGGAUCUCAAACCACUGUCAGAAGCAAAGAGUCUGGUUCUGGCAUUGGGUCCAGAUUGGAAAAAUAUGAAGAGCUGACCUCUCAAGGAUACAGUGUCCUUGCGGCUAAUCCAGUUCUUGUGGAGAAGCGGUCACCUCAGGAUGGACAUAAUGCCCAAUCUGACAAUCCUGACAACUCUAGAAGCCCAGGUCAACGCAAUGUCAGAGCUCUCCAACUUCAAAAGACGAACCACUAUCAUUUGAGGGUGGUGAAUGAUAAAACAGAUCCGGAGAUCAAAGGUUUGGCAGUUGCCUCAGGUAAUACAACCAUUGCAGACAACGGGAACAAGAAGAUUCGGCUGAUUGACAAGAAGGGACAUUCAGCAAACAUGACCAAGAAUAUAUUGAAGGACAACAUACCUGCUCAUGCCCUUGUCCAUCUUGGGCAUGUGGUUGUUUAUAUUUGUGGCUCUUGUAUCUACAUUGCUGAUAAAUCUCUACGAACCCAGUUGGUAAUACAGCUGAAAAUUGAUAAAUCAGCCUGUCGUGGGCUGAUUCUGUGCAAAUACACAGAUACAUCGUUUAUGGUCGGGAAUCUUCCUGAGAACCUGGUGCGGGUGUACAGUAUUAAUGGUCAACUGAUGUCCACGAGACGGGCUCCUGUUCCUGGCCCAAUAACAGCCAUGUCUCUGACCAAUGAUGAGGAUAUCCUGUUUAGUUGUCCAGGAGCUGUGUCACAGAUCCAGAAGUAUGGUAACGUAACUCAAGUCUUCAGACCUCCAAAUAUCUCAGAUUGGUUCCCAGAGGGCACCUGUAUGGACAGGUGGAACAACUUGUAUGUUGCCAAUUCGAGACAGAAUCAAAUCCAUGUGUUUGGCCAAGGGGGUGAACAGCUUUGCAUCCAUUCAACGUUGAGUGAUAAUCUGGAGUCACCUCGGUGUUUAGCAAUAUCAUUGGACAGACUGAUUGUUUCAGGAGAUCAUCCACAUCUGUUUGUUUAUACCAUUCUUGAAGUGUAAAUACAGGUCUGGUUGUGUGGAUUCAUGAUGUCUCUUUUCAGGAACACGUCCAUUUGUGUGGAUACAUGGUGUGUAUUUGUGUGGAUACACGGUGUGUAUUUGUGUGGAUAGACGGUGUGUAUUUGUGUGGAUACAUGGUGUCUAUUUGUGUGGAUACAUGGUGUGUAUUUGUGUGGAUACAUGGUGUGUAUUUGUGUGGAUUCACAGUGUGUACUUGUCUGGAUACACGGUGUGUUUUUGUGUGGAUACAAAGUGUCUAUUUGUGUGGAUUCACUGUGUAUUUGUGUGGAUACAUGGUGUGUAUUUGUGCGGAUUCACAGUGUGUAUUUGUGUGGAUACACAGUGUGCAUUUGUGUGGAUACACGGUGUGUAUUUGUGUGGAUACACAGUGUGUAUUUGUGUGGAUUCAUGGUGUGUAUUUGUGUGAAUACACGUGUGUAUUUGUGUGGAUACACAGUGUUUAUUUGUGUGGAUACACGGUGUGUAUUUGUGUGGAUUCACGGUGUAUUUGUGUUGAUUCACUGUGUAUUUGUGUGGAUACACUGUGUGUAUUUGUGUGGAUACAUGGUGUGUAUUUGUGUGGAGUCACAGUGUGUAUUUGUGUGGAUACAUAGUGUGUG